This 670-nucleotide ribosomal RNA is filed under the name Staphylococcus aureus. Its description in RNAcentral is "partial 23S ribosomal RNA". It matches the Rfam family "Bacterial large subunit ribosomal RNA", at positions 1603 to 2274 of the family's 2925-position model. Lineage: Bacteria; Bacillati; Bacillota; Bacilli; Caryophanales; Staphylococcaceae. The record is from RNAcentral.
CACUGCCGAGAAAAGCCUCUAGAUAGAAAAUAGGUGCCCGUACCGCAAACCGACACAGGUAGUCAAGAUGAGAAUUCUAAGGUGAGCGAGCGAACUCUCGUUAAGGAACUCGGCAAAAUGACCCCGUAACUUCGGGAGAAGGGGUGCUCUUUAGGGUUAACGCCCAGAAGAGCCGCAGUGAAUAGGCCCAAGCGACUGUUUAUCAAAAACACAGGUCUCUGCUAAACCGUAAGGUGAUGUAUAGGGGCUGACGCCUGCCCGGUGCUGGAAGGUUAAGAGGAGUGGUUAGCUUCUGCGAAGCUACGAAUCGAAGCCCCAGUAAACGGCGGCCGUAACUAUAACGGUCCUAAGGUAGCGAAAUUCCUUGUCGGGUAAGUUCCGACCCGCACGAAAGGCGUAACGAUUUGGGCACUGUCUCAACGAGAGACUCGGUGAAAUCAUAGUACCUGUGAAGAUGCAGGUUACCCGCGACAGGACGGAAAGACCCCGUGGAGCUUUACUGUAGCCUGAUAUUGAAAUUCGGCACAGCUUGUACAGGAUAGGUAGGAGCCUUUGAAACGUGAGCGCUAGCUUACGUGGAGGCGCUGGUGGGAUACUACCCUAGCUGUGUUGGCUUUCUAACCCGCACCACUUAUCGUGGUGGGAGACAGUGUCAGGCGGGCAGUUUGAC